This is a non-coding RNA of Caerostris extrusa, 78 nucleotides long. NCBI's taxonomy places the organism in Eukaryota, Metazoa, Arthropoda, Arachnida, Araneae, Araneidae. The record is from the annotation of a GenBank genome assembly.
GGUUCCGUAGUGUAGUGGUCAUCACGUUACGUUCGCUUCACACGCGAAAGGUCCCCGGUUCGAUCCCGGGCGGAACCA